GAGACGGAGUUAUUAUUUUAGCUUUAUACUUUUAUAACGUAUAAGAAAAACGCGACGAGGAUUAUUGAGCCAUUCAAUAAUUUAUUAUCCAGUUUGAUAACUGACUUAGCAAAGUCAAGUUAUUAAUUUAUAUGCGAUAGAAAUAGUAUUUCUAUUAUUUACUUGAAGUCGUGAUUAAUUUUCGACUUAUAAAACGAAUUAUAAAAUAUGUAAUUCGUAGAGAGUUAUAACGAAGCGUCGUUAUUUAGUAGAACCCAAUAUUAGUUUUACAAAUACUUGUAACUUCAAUACUUUACAAAUCAUUAUUUUUCCACUCCCUAAUGUUUCCUACACUAUACACGCAUAAUCUCCACUUCUCCACUCCACCAACUAUCUCCAUCACCUUUUGCUUUCUUCCACUACAUUUUUUCUCACCACCCUUUCCACUCCACUAAUUCCACUACACCAAACUUUCCACCUACUCCCUUCCCCACCACACGCAAGAAUGCAUCUAACAUUCCAUUAUACAGGCAACAAUCUUUUCAUCAUCUUCAUUCUUCACUAAGGAACCGAAGAGCAGCCACGAGUUCUGCCAUAAGCACACUGCUCCGGCAGUGUUUUGCAAGGCGAUUCCAGCCAUCCAAAAGGUUGAGUUGUGAUGGGCGAUGAAGUGUUGCUGAGUGGAGUUUUUGUUGAACUUAAAGUAGGCUCAGAAAGGAUACAUGUCUUCAUACAUGUAUCUCAGUUAUGCAUUCCGCUGUAAACACUGAUUAUUUCAGUUACACCUUCCGUUGCAAACUCUGAUAAUGUUUUAGCCAAGCCCCUAACGAUGCCUUUUUCCUUUUUAGGAAUAUAACGCUUAUACAAGUUCGUUGAGUACCCUUUUUAUGCGAACUAUGCCUUUUUCCUUUUUAAGAAAUAUUUCACGCGUAUUCAAGCUCUUUGAGUAUUCUUUUAUGCGCCCCUUUCUAAACCCGCUUCUUAAUUUCCCUUCCCCAGUCAUGGUUUUCCCGGAUUAAUUAUCCUUAAUUAAGGCCGGUCGUGACAGAGUGGUAUCAGAGCAGUUCAUUUGCUCUGAGCCUAAGAGUUUAUUUAAGCCAAACUUAGAAUGGAUCAAUAAAGUGUCUAGAGUUCAAUCAACAAAGCUCAGCACUUCAUCGCAUCACACUCAACGAAGCAGAAUGGUAAACUCUUCCAAGCUUGAGUUAAUGUUUACAAAAAGUGAGAAUUAUCGUAAUAGCAAAAAUGCCGCCUAAGAGAGGACGCCCUGCGAGAAACAAUAACAAUCGCAGAAACCGUAACGCUGUACCCGAAGAACCACAAGAUGCUCGAGGACAUAACCCAUCCCUCCGCCCCCAACUAGGAGAGUCGAAGAACUCUUUUUAAGGCAAAAUCCGCCUACGUUUGACGGAACGAGUGAACCAGCUGAAGCUGAGAUUUGGGUGCGUGCAAAUGAACGCAUCUUCAACUUUCUACAUUGUACUGAUGAGGAGCGCCUAUCUUGCGUCUCAUUCCAGCUAACAUGAUCAGCGGAUUUCUGGUGGGAAACACGACGAAAAAUUCUGACACCUGAACAAUGGGCAAGUUAUACUUGGGAAGAUUUUAAGACAGGAUUAUAUGAUAAAUAUAUUCCGAAAAGCUAUAGGAAGAAGAAAGAAGUUAAGUUCUACGAGUUGAAGCAAGGAAAGAAAUCUGUGGUUGAAUAAAACAAGGAAUUUCACCUUGCCCAAAUUGUGGUAAGAUGCAUAGGGGUGUCUGUCGUGCCGGGACUAACGGUUGUUACAAUUGUGGCCAAAAGGGUCACUACUCCACGCAAUGCCCCAACAAACAACGAGGUUCAACAAUUGAGAACAGCCACACCCCCUUGCCAGCAAUACGUGGACACUUGCGAAAUCAGUUUCAAUCACAUCAGUGAAAAUCUUAUGGAGGCACCGCAGAUAUAAAAAAAAAUUACGUGGGAGUUUGAAGACAAAAUGAAAGAGAAGUACCCGGAUUGUUUUAACAGAGAUAUACAAAUUUCGGGACGAAAUUUUUGUUAAGAGGGGUAGUAUGUAGUAGCCCGCUCUUUUAUUUAUGAUAAAAACUAGUAAAUGCAAUUUUUAUAAAUGAAUCCAGUUUAUGGUCCUGAUUUUUUUUUUUAUCAGAGACGGAGUUAUUAUUUUAGCUUUAUACUUUUAUAACGUAUAAGAAAAACGCGACGAGGAUUAUUGAGCCAUUCAAUAAUUUAUUAUCCAGUUUGAUAACUGACUUAGCAAAGUCAAGUUAUUAAUUUAUAUGCGAUAGAAAUAGUAUUUCUAUUAUUUACUUGAAGUCGUGAUUAAUUUUCGACUUAUAAAACGAAUUAUAAAAUAUGUAAUUCGUAGAGAGUUAUAACGAAGCGUCGUUAUUUAGUAGAACCCAAUAUUAGUUUUACAAAUACUUGUAACUUCAAUACUUUACAAAUCAUUAUUUUUCCACUCCCUAAUGUUUCCUACACUAUACACGCAUAAUCUCCACUUCUCCACUCCACCAACUAUCUCCAUCACCUUUUGCUUUCUUCCACUACAUUUUUUCUCACCACCCUUUCCACUCCACUAAUUCCACUACACCAAACUUUCCACCUACUCCCUUCCCCACCACACGCAAGAAUGCAUCUAACAUUCCAUUAUACAGGCAACAAUCUUUUCAUCAUCUUCAUUCUUCACUAAGGAACCGAAGAGCAGCCACGAGUUCUGCCAUAAGCACACUGCUCCGGCAGUGUUUUGCAAGGCGAUUCCAGCCAUCCAAAAGGUUGAGUUGUGAUGGGCGAUGAAGUGUUGCUGAGUGGAGUUUUUGUUGAACUUAAAGUAGGCUCAGAAAGGAUACAUGUCUUCAUACAUGUAUCUCAGUUAUGCAUUCCGCUGUAAACACUGAUUAUUUCAGUUACACCUUCCGUUGCAAACUCUGAUAAUGUUUUAGCCAAGCCCCUAACGAUGCCUUUUUCCUUUUUAGGAAUAUAACGCUUAUACAAGUUCGUUGAGUACCCUUUUUAUGCGAACUAUGCCUUUUUCCUUUUUAAGAAAUAUUUCACGCGUA
This is a long non-coding RNA of Salvia miltiorrhiza (redroot sage), 3033 nucleotides long. RefSeq lists it as uncharacterized. The record is from RefSeq and is a predicted model, not a curated record. Lineage: Eukaryota; Viridiplantae; Streptophyta; Magnoliopsida; Lamiales; Lamiaceae. The transcript is spliced from 4 exons.